GACAGUUUGUCCGAGUGGUUAAGGAGUCAGACUUGAAAUCUGAUGGGGUUUCCCCGCACAGGUUCAAAUCCUGUAGCUGUCG
RNAcentral lists this transfer RNA (82 nucleotides) under Neoconidiobolus thromboides FSU 785. Its description in RNAcentral is "tRNA-Ser". It matches the Rfam family "tRNA". From Rfam's summary of the family: Transfer RNA (tRNA) molecules are approximately 80 nucleotides in length. Lineage: Eukaryota; Fungi; Entomophthoromycota; Entomophthoromycetes; Entomophthorales; Neoconidiobolaceae. The record is from RNAcentral.